GGGUAACUUUAGCCCUAACACAGCCCGGGAUGACUUCACGUUUCAUUCCAGAUACCUCUCCUUCAAGGAAAACGUAAUUAACGCCAAUUAAAAGCAUCCGGCAGAAUCGAGGAGUGAGGGCUGCAGGGAUGGGGAGAGCAGAACGCCGACACAGAGCACUGGGGGCGUAACAGCAGUGCUCAGCCUGACUGCCACAUCACCUCCAUUGCAUCGCAUCACCUCCAUCGCAUCACCUCCACAUCACAUCACCUCCAUUGCAUCACCUCCAUUGCAUCACCUCCACCACAUCACAUCACCUCCAUCGCAUCACCUGUGCCCCAGUGCUGCACCCCACCCGGGGGGGGUUAACCCUCCGCCUCCGAUGCCUUCCACACCUGAGAGCUGCUGAGGAUCUCCUUAUGGGGAGGAAGGCUGAAAGUGAAACGGGGCCGGAAAGCCUGGAGUGGAGGGGAAAGGCACUGCAGGCAGAGCAGGAAGGUUAGUGAGGAGUCACAGAGAAGGCGUUUACAGACAGGAAGGAGAAGCAGAGAAGCAAGCAGCACAGCUGAGGUUCGGUUCUGCCUUCUGGUCGCCGCCCGGAGCUUCUGAAGCGGCUCGCUAACAAAGCACGCCUGGAAGCUGUCCCUGCUCACAGCACCGCCCCAUCCUGCCCAGCUCAGCACCACCUCCGUGACAGCACAGCCCUGAGCGCAGCCCAGCUGACCCACCCGUGUUUCUGGGGGUUCCUGGGGAGAAAAUGGCCAACAGCCGGGAGGCAUUUCCUCCUCUGCCACGGAGAUGGGGCACGGAGCAAAGAGCCGCUGAGGGGGAGGCGGAGGUUUAUUUUGUCCCCCAGGGAAACCGCUUUCGGGAGCAGCUC
RNAcentral lists this long non-coding RNA (859 nucleotides) under Gallus gallus (chicken). RNAcentral's name for it is "long non-coding RNA NONGGAT005691". The record is from RNAcentral. Lineage: Eukaryota; Metazoa; Chordata; Aves; Galliformes; Phasianidae.